CCUACGGGAGGCAGCAGUGGGGAAUAUUGCACAAUGGGGGAAACCCUGAUGCAGUGAUGCCGCGUGGAGGAAGAAGGUUUUCGGAUUGUAAACUCCUUUUAUCAGGGACGAUAAUGGCGGUACCUGAAGAAAAAGCUCCGGCUAACUACGUGCCAGCAGCCGCGGGAAUACGUAGGGAGCGAGCGGUGUUCGGGAUUACUGGGGGUAAAGGGAGCGUAGGCGGGGGGGGAA
This 231-nucleotide ribosomal RNA is filed under the name uncultured bacterium. RNAcentral's name for it is "partial 16S ribosomal RNA". It matches the Rfam family "Bacterial small subunit ribosomal RNA", at positions 338 to 586 of the family's 1533-position model. The record is from RNAcentral.